RNAcentral lists this ribosomal RNA (423 nucleotides) under uncultured cyanobacterium. RNAcentral describes it as "bacterial SSU rRNA". It matches the Rfam family "Bacterial small subunit ribosomal RNA", at positions 357 to 795 of the family's 1533-position model. Lineage: Bacteria; Bacillati; Cyanobacteriota. The record is from RNAcentral.
GGGAAUUUUCCGCAAUGGGCGCAAGCCUGACGGAGCAAUACCGCGUGAGGGAAGAAGGCUUUUGGGUUGUAAACCUCUUUUCUCAGGGAAGAAGCAAUGACGGUACCUGAGGAAUCAGCAUCGGCUAACUCCGUGCCAGCAGCCGCGGUAAUACGGAGGAUGCAAGCGUUAUCCGGAAUUAUUGGGCGUAAAGCGUCCGCAGGUGGCUAGUCAAGUCUGCGGUCAAAGACAGAAGCUAAACUUCUGGAAGGCCGUGGAAACGGGCAAGCUAGAGUACGGUAGGGGUAGAGGGAAUUCCCAGUGUAGCGGUGAAAUGCGUAGAGAUUGGGAAGAACACCAGUGGCGAAAGCGCUCUACUGGGCCUGUACUGACACUGAGGGACGAAAGCUAGGGGAGCGAAAGGGAUUAGAUACCCCUGUAGUC